This 295-nucleotide unclassified non-coding RNA is filed under the name fungal sp. Its description in RNAcentral is "partial internal transcribed spacer region". The stretch from base 1 to 46 matches the Rfam family "Eukaryotic small subunit ribosomal RNA", at positions 1786 to 1831 of the family's 1831-position model. Lineage: Eukaryota; Fungi. The record is from RNAcentral.
AAGUCGUAACAAGGUAACCGUAGGUGAACCUGCGGUUGGAUCAUUAACAAUUAUUAUUGAGCCUCCCUCCCCCCCACGGGCGGGUAGGUUCUCUAACACUUGUGUGCACUGUUUAUUGUCUCUCGGCGUUCGAGGGUUGGGUAGCAGAGCUUGCUCUGAUGCCCUUGGGCUUUACGGCCUUGAUCUACCCUUGAGCGCCAACCUAAAACUUGAUUUUUGUAUUUAUACUCUAAGCCUUUAAUUUUAAAUUUUAUAAUUUGAAAACAACUUUUAACAACGGAUCUCUAGGCUCUCA